AGGGGCUGCUGGCUCCCCAAUUUGACGAGUAGGUGGACACGACGGAAGAUGAGUACACACCCGACGUGCAGCUAGAGAAAGCGCGCGCACGACACAAGAGCAGAGCGGGGUCGAGGGGCACAAACUGGAAGGUCGAUGGUGUCGGGCUACUGCUGCGACGAUGGUAGGUGAGGUCCAACACGCAGUCCAAAUCCUUGAUGCAGAUCGACGUCAAGGUGAAGACCGAGCGUCAGCACGAUGGAGAUCGAUGGUCGGCAACAGACAUGGCAGGGAGGACAUCGGCGAGAUUGAGGUCAGGGCGCGACAUGGUAGAUUGAAGACCGACAUGUGUUGGAGAGACCGAACUCGAUCGAUGGGGAAGAAACCCAGAUGCGGCUUGGAUGGAGCAGCAGCAGGGAGCAUCAGCAACAGCGAGCGAGCGACGCUCAGCGACUGCAGGAGAGGCUGACGGUGCCGGGGAAUUCAAAGCAGAGACCAAGGGCACACGACGGCUUGCCCGUCCACGACCAUCGCGCCCGCAGCCACCAGCGCUUCCCGGCUGCGUCCGUGCACGACCAAAGAUGGAACUGGAGGGCAAGCAGAGAGGGGCGACCGGCAGAGGAGGAGCAGAGGCCGACUGAAGAGGGCGCGCCAUGAAAUCGAGCUGGCGCGGCAAGGAAACUUCCAUGGCGGGGUCGUGGCGCGCCAUGGAACCGAGCAGACAGAGUACCAUGAGAUGGAGCUGGGCAGUGGCUGACAGGAAUCCGAGCAGGGACGGCGCGGGCGCGUCCACGGCUGCUCCAGACUCCCACGAAGCAGGACUUCAGUGCGGCCAGGAAGAGAAAGACUCGGGCUGGGCGCACGCAAGAAUGGAGCUUGCAGGAAGACGACAGCAGAUAAAAAGAAUCUGAGUACGACGGUGAAGGGAUAAGGAUGCUCCAUACAGCGCCCGGCGAGCAGCACGGAGGAGACACGAUGGCUCAGUGCUGUCCACGUUCAGUGAAGAAGAAAAAAAAUAUCCAUGCUUAUAACGAUGGCUGGAAGAUAAGGUUAGCGGCAAAAAAGAUCUGAGCUCGUUGAAGAAUAUCAGAGAGAAUGCAGCUCGAAAAAUCAAGGAGAGGGAAGAGAUAUGGCCAACGAUUGAAAUAUCAGAGGGAAAGCGGUAGCCGUGAGAAAAAUCAGGGAUAGAAAAAAAAAUCUUCAUCUGCCAUGCGAUAGGAACGUGAUGUUUUUUCUCUUUCUUCUUUUUUUUUUAAGAUUCAUUUUCUUAUUUUUUUUUUAACAAAGCAUCGCAGAUAUUUUUACAAUUACGAUUUUUAGCAAUGUAAAACGGGUCGGCAGUAAUUGUGACAGUUGAUUCAAUUUAAAAAUCUGAUAAAUUUAUCUACGGUCUGAACAUCUGAUUUCACGGCCAUAGAUAAUUUAUCAGCGAGUCGAGGCUCACCUUUUGGAUCCUCAUAUACGAUUUCACGGUUGACGAAUGGGAACCGAAUUAUUUGCAUCGACAACCGUAGUCGACGAGUUCUGACUAAUUUGUUCGGCGUGAUUCGACCGAACUGAAACCCGAUCUACCAUGUAUACGCGAUUUCGUCGCCCAAAACAGGGUGCGGACGGAUAAAUUGGAUCGUAGCCUCGCGCAAGAUUUCACACGAUUCGAAUUAUUUUACCCCGAGCAUUUUAGUUGUCGAGUUCAAAAUUAAUUUGUUCGGGAUAAAAUCGUCCGAUUGGGUUGAGCUUCCGAAUUCGUACCCGUACGAGCGAUGAAUUUUAAAUAAUCACCGGACGCACCGAUUUUCGGAAUGACGAUAUUCCGAACAUCACGAAAAAAAAUUUGGAAGAGCCCAAAUAAUAGAAGUAAAAAUGAUGUCGCACUCGCGACAAACGGAACAGAUGCGAUAUUAGAUUCGCAAUAAACGAGGAUGAUUAAAAUUUAAAAUCCGUUUUAUCCACUGAUAUUGUGUGCUUAAAUCCGUACUCGUUGUCGAGCGGAAUAUAAACACCUGAGGUGUUACAGCCCUCCCCCCUUAAAAGAAUCUCGUCCCGAGAUUCGGAACGAAAGACUUCUAAGAGUAGAGCAGCAUGUAACCCAUUUCCUUAUCAGCGAUAAUCGUAAGGCAGUUCUGAGCGAAGGCAAGUGUCUCAGGAUGUUGUUUCCCCUAGUGGACAUAACAUGUAUCGACGUAAGCCAAUUUAGAAAUGUCCAUUAGUAGAGACAACAUCAGCCAGAGGAACACAUAAGGUUUCAUGUGUGCAGUUUGCUUUUUCUGAUGACACUAUACUAUCUGAGUCUGUUGGGCGAGCAGUAGAUAUGCGAUUUUACCCAAACAGAAUCAGAUGCAACCUCUUGGGUAAAUCACACAGAAAGAGGUUUACCAACAAGUGGUUACAGUAAGUUCAUAGCACACGAGACGAGUGUGAAUGUCGAAUAACAUCACAUUUGACCCGUGGCUAGCCAGAAAAUCCAAGUCCCUGAAAGGUGAUAUAGAUUCGAGAAAAUUACCAGUGGAGAGAUCUGUAGAUACGGACUUUACAACCAGUCCAUUUUAUCCAGCACUAGUCACAGCUCGACUUGAUCACAUAUGCUGGAAAAGCAUACGUGAGGCGAUUGAGGCACGACUAGAGCGAUGAUUAGGUGGUUAUUGGUCGACUUAACUUAACUUUUGUGAGUACUUUCUUUAGAGUGGGUUAGACCAAAGUGAGUUCAGGCAAAUCGAUAAAACGAUCUCUAAAUUCAACCUUUGUUUCAAAUGCAGUUACAAGUUAGUCAAAACCAACUUGUUGAACUACUUUUGACAUUGAGUAAGUCCUCUCAGUACCAUCGGUAAGCCAAGGGUUCAGAGUUUACUCAUAUUAACAGUUGGUCAUGCAUUUGGGCAGGAAUCCAUUUGGUCUGGUCGUUCAUCCGUUUCUUCUAUACGAGAUGAACCGACUUGGUCCAGGAAUACAUGAAUUAAAUAGGAGAGCAAAUGAACAAACUCCUGCAUUUCAGCAGCAGGGGAAAGUCAAUCUCCAUUUUGAGACCUAAUCAGUUGCCUCUCGACACUAAAAAGCUCCAAGGUUUCACCUUUACACAAAGGAUGUAAAGUAAACUUCUAUGCAUGCAGUCACUAUCAAGGUCAAGGGGAAAGAGACCACACAAGUAAGGGGUAUGCCCUUUUGAUCUAACAGAGAUGAUAGAUGUUGCUUGAUCACUUGACAAACAACAUAAAAAUUGUUCCAAGGGAGAAGUCCACGGAAGAUCACAUAUCAGUGUAGUUCCACAAUGGAUCAUGACUAGAGACAUCGAUACCAGCAUGCGCCAAGCAGCAUAACCUUGCGUGUACAUUCACAAGGGGCUCUCAGUUUCGCUGCGGCACCAUAAGUCCUUAAUCAUGACACCAUCACCGAACUGGCACCAAUAAUGAACCUCACAUAGAAAAAACAGAUUGUGCUAAGAUAACACCUUGAUAUAGUCUCAUAAUGGAUUACAACUACUAACCAUGAUACCAGCGCGUGCCAAGUAGCGCAACCAUGUGUGUACAUUCACAGGAGGCCCUCGGUUUCAUCACGACACCAUCGGUUUUAGUCAUAAUGCCAUUACCAAACAUAACCAAUAGAAAAUCUCACACGACACAAAUGAAUUGGGCAAGGGUGACAAUAUACAAGGAGAUACUCCACCUGUAAGAAUGGUUACAAGUAGAGAGCCAAAUAGAUUAUGACCCGAUGAAAUGAACAAAACACGGCCAUAACCUAAAUUGGUUGAUGAAGGGAGUAUGAUGGGAGACUGUUAAUUCAGCCCCAGGCAUAUUUCUAUGCCCAUCAUAGAGAUUACAAGGUCAAGGAUUAGUAUCUGAUUAGAUACGGAGGGAAAACAAUCAUCAAAUUAAGUUGGUAUGCCUUUGAUAGAUAUGGGGAAACCAAAGGCAUCAAAUUCAAGAAAAUACUCGGACAGGUCUUUUCUGGGUUAGGUUGAUAAAGCAACAUGGCGAUCCUUUAAAAAUAGGCAAACUAGAAUAAAGACAUCAGCUUGCACAAAUCGAACAAGGACAUGGUUUAGGGUGGAGACAUGACUCGAGAUUCUUGUUUCAAGUCCGGGUACACUUUAGGUCCAACAAAGAAAUUAUCUAGGCAUUUAUUUUUAUGUGUUUGGUCAUGGAGUGAUAACGGAAAAUUCAAAUUUGGGUCAUGGUUCACUAAAUAAAGACAUGACCUAGUUUAAGGUUUAGGCAAAUAGGUCACCAACCUUCUACCAGCGCAUCAAGUACAAGAGCAAGCACAAUAAGCACCCUAAGAGGUCACCUAAAGAAUGGAGGACACCUAUUUCAUCGAAGUUCAUAAUACAACAUUACACCACAUUAUCUACAAUCAUCGGUUAUUAGAAUAAAGAUGAUAGAAGCACUUUGGAUGUAUAGGUGACAAACAUGAUGCAACAAUCAGGAUGCAUGCUCGUCCUAUACGUCCUCACAAGUUUUGCCAACAUAAUGAGGCGAUAGCGUUCUAUAUCGGUGGCAUACGUUCUCUCUCUCGGUAUUGCUAGUCGUCAGCUACACAUACGUUUUUCGAGGUUAGUGUACCUGCAGAAGAUUCCAUCACAGCCCAAUUUCCCAAUGAUGCAGUUCACACAUGAUAAUUUAUCACAGUUUAUACUCCAUAUAUUGCUAUAUGGAGGCCAGCUCAUCAUUAAGCGCCGAGCCACGCAUAGGCGCCGUUGCCACACUUUAACCAUAGGGCAACUCAUUAUGGUAACUCACCUUCUUACCUGAGCGUAGGUGCGUCAUUACAAGUACAUUACACUUCUCAGUAUUUCCAUGUCUGUAUACCCAUACACAUCCAUGGGGUACUGAAUUCCCAGAAAAGUAAUUACUCCACAUCGCAGCCUUCAUAUAUACAUAUGUAAAACAUGUAUAUAAUCAAGCGCUUUUUAUACUCUCCCCUAGACCGACGUUUGUUCGGUCAUGCUCUCACAUCUCACCUUACCUGAGCGUCGAUCCAUUCCAAACGGAAUGGUUUUCAAAAAUAACAAUACACAUGUAUGCAAUACCCACCCGGUUGUGGGUUAGUGGUUUUCAACUAAGCCACCUAAUAGUCCUUAAUUUAGGGCUUAACAGAGGACGUCGCUAGCAUUAUAGUUUUUCAAAACUGUUUUUCAAAGCCAAACAAUGUGUUUAGUUGAAAAUAGGUUUUUCAAAACCAAAACUUUUGUUUUUAAAAUACGUAUGUGACCGUAGAUACUUAAUCCAGUUCCGAUACCAGCUGUGGCAGAACCUUCAAGUUAUUGGGCCCACAUGCACCUGUCUUUGUCCCAAAGACCUCAGACGACCAUGCAUGUGCACCAGAUAACUCAACAGGAUCUGUCCGAUUGCCCCAAGGACAUCGGAUAAACCACUUUCAACCAGAACCGCAGGAUUAAGUAAUACAAAUCACACACACCAAUAAUUUUGCAGCGGAAAUACUAUUACCAAAUUUUACAAGUUACAAAAAUUUUAUAUUAUUUUAUCGGAGUGGUUACAAAAGUAUAAGUUUGAAAUAUAUGCUAGCUUAAGUGACCAUCCUCAAUAAGAAGUAUAAGGGAGUUACUUAGACUUAUAAGAAGGCCGAGCCCACCGGCACUUAACACCAUCAACAGCAUCACAAAGUUAGGACCUGAAAAACAACAGGGAAUAAAACCCUGGGUAUGGAAUUACUCAGCAAGUCUUACCCGACUAAGGAAAAGACUCUCAAGGGUAUGCUGGAUAAAUAGGAAUCAAGGAGAGGCUUUAACAAGAAUCAACUUAGAUACUUUUGCAGAAAUAGCUUACUAAAGUGAAUCCUUACUUUCAAUGUUUUAACGCUAGAUUAAAUAUUAAUAGACUCUGUUUGCCUUUAGUCUAAUUUCAUCAUCUCAUCAAUACAACAUUAUUUUUAUCCAUAAUGUUCACAUCCUGACUUAGGUUGUAGACAAGUGACCACGUCUUCAUAACCGCGAAGGUACGGCGAUCCGAAUCGAUUAUACUCAGCUGAGGAUCUCCAAUCACACGACAUAUGUAGCACUUAACCCUUGCAUAUGUCAACCCGCCACCGGGGUUCUUAAGACCAGAUCAGGUUCACGCAAACCGAGAGCACAGAUACACCACCAUCCAGCCUCUUGCCACGGAGGGUACACACUACUCUCGCCACCGCUCCACGCCCAUUUCGUGUUAUCUUAUUCUGGCCUUAGUCUGCCCGAGGCAAGGCUUACCCAUGACGAGGCAUGUGACCAGUUAAAGGGUCCGCGGUCAGCACACCUACAUACACGUUCAAUCCUUAAUCAACCUGGGUAGAAUAUCACCCGUUCCUAACCCAAGUCCCGAUUUAAGUAUUUCCACCCUUAGGAUUGUUUGUUUUCCUUAGGAUGAAAAGAGCAUCAUAGGGAACUUUGCAGUAAGAUCCCACCAUGCUCCCAAUGAAAAUAUAACCUUGCAGGUAGAAGUCAUCUUUCCUCAGGAUAACCCCUGAGCAAGGCCUUAACGCAAAAGACAACCUCUAUCCACAAGAUCUAAGCAGGGCUAAGCAUUUUUGUAAAUCAAAGUUUGAUACUUCCAAAGAAGUAUCUAUAACAGGUAUGGAUAUCAAGGAAGACAAUGCAUCAAAGGGUUUCAAGCAACUCCUAUAAACCUAAUGCACAUUUCACUAGACUUAAAGUGUGCGAAAAGUAUUUAAAAACACAAGGAAGGGGUUGCAUGCACCGGGGCUUGCCUGAGUAACACUAGGUUAGUGUUUGUUAGGCGACCACUUGACGAUCAUCCUUAUCCUAGCACUUGAUCAGGCAGGUUCGUUCAUCAGCAUCUCCAUGCGGAGUAGUCCGCGCUUGGGGUCGACUUGGCUCGUCUUCCACAUUACGCGAUCAAUUAUCGACGUCAAGGUGAAGACCGAGCGUCAGCACGAUGGAGAUCGAUGGUCGGCAACAGACAUGGCAGGGAGGACAUCGGCGAGAUUGAGGUCAGGGCGCGACAUGGUAGAUUGAAGACCGACAUGUGUUGGAGAGACCGAACUCGAUCGAUGGGGAAGAAACCCAGAUGCGGCUUGGAUGGAGCAGCAGCAGGGAGCAUCAGCAACAGCGAGCGAGCGACGCUCAGCGACUGCAGGAGAGGCUGACGGUGCCGGGGAAUUCAAAGCAGAGACCAAGGGCACACGACGGCUUGCCCGUCCACGACCAUCGCGCCCGCAGCCACCAGCGCUUCCCGGCUGCGUCCGUGCACGACCAAAGAUGGAACUGGAGGGCAAGCAGAGAGGGGCGACCGGCAGAGGAGGAGCAGAGGCCGACUGAAGAGGGCGCGCCAUGAAAUCGAGCUGGCGCGGCAAGGAAACUUCCAUGGCGGGGUCGUGGCGCGCCAUGGAACCGAGCAGACAGAGUACCGUGAGAUGGAGCUGGGCAGUGGCUGACAGGAAUCCGAGCAGGGACGGCGCGGGCGCGUCCACGGCUGCUCCAGACUCCCACGAAGCAGGACUUCAGCGCGGCCAGGAAGAGAAAGACUCGGACUGGGCGCACGCAAGAAUGGAGCUUGCAGGGAAGACGACAGCAGAUAAAAAGAAUCUGAGUACGACGGUGAAGGGAUAAGGAUGCUCCAUACAGCGCCCGGCGAGCAGCACGGAGGAGACACGAUGGCUCAGUGCUGUCCACGUUCAGUGAAGAAGAAA
RNAcentral lists this long non-coding RNA (7614 nucleotides) under Zea mays. RNAcentral's name for it is "long non-coding RNA (ZMAY_LNC001514)". The record is from RNAcentral. Lineage: Eukaryota; Viridiplantae; Streptophyta; Magnoliopsida; Poales; Poaceae.